Chrysemys picta bellii (western painted turtle) is the source of this 5433-nucleotide non-coding RNA. The record is from RefSeq and is a predicted model, not a curated record. NCBI's taxonomy places the organism in Eukaryota, Metazoa, Chordata, Testudines, Emydidae.
CAGGCUCGACUGAGCAGCUAUAAGGGGGAGGGAGCCUGCGGGAAGGGGGAGGGAGCUGCCGAGCUGCCUGGAGAGGAGGAUCGUGGUUCGCUCCAGCCGCCCCGCUCCGUCUACACUGGGGACGCUCAGAGGGUUGCUGCGCUGGGGCUGGUCCAUGUGAAUCCACCCUUUGCCUCUACCAGAAUCUCAUCCUCUGAAGCCAUCACCAGUGUGUGGAGCCUGCCCCACACCCAUCACCUACCAAACCACGGCCUUUACCUGUGUCUUCCGCUGUUUCCCGUGCGACCCUUCUUGUGGGAGCGCCUCCUGGGCUACCCCAGAGUUUACGCAGCAUUCAGUGGCUCCAAUGGUGAAGAUGACGAGGUCCAAGACUUUCCAGGCAUAUCUGCCUUCAUGCCACAGAACCUAUAGCUGCAUUCACUGCAGGGCUCAUCUUGCCAAUCACGAUGAACUCAUUUCCAAGUCCUUUCAAGGAAGCCAAGGGCGAGCAUACCUCUUCAAUUCAGUAGUUAAUGUGGGUUGCGGCCCCGCAGAGGAGCGGGUGUUACUAACAGGAUUACACGCAGUUGCAGACAUUUAUUGUGAAAACUGCAAAACCACACUGGGCUGGAAAUAUGAACACGCUUUUGAGAGCAGCCAGAAGUAUAAAGAAGGCAAAUACAUCAUCGAACUAGCUCACAUGAUCAAGGAUAAUGGCUGGGAUUGAAUGGGAAGAGCCCAGCCAAACCAGCGUGUAAGAGAAUGCCAUCCGACAGAACAUUAUAUCCAAGAGUGAGAGAGUGACCGAACGCUUGGUUCCAUGCAUUUAGAGGCUCUGCCAUUUGGGAACAUCUUCACACCCUUCUCCAUCUUUAUUGGUGACUGGCCUCUAAAUUUCUGUCUCUCCGUCUCUUUGCUUUUUAUCUGUUUGUGAAUUGACCCUGGCUGCUUCUCUCUAUGUUCUGGCGUUGGCUAAGAGAAUGCACCAAAUGCCUGACAGCAUUCCAUGUUUAUGAAUGUCAAAGUACAAACUGAAGUUGGCUCUUCGUUGGCCUUUUAUCAGAGGGUCUCAGUGUGGGAGGGAGACCAGAGUUUUGGGCAGGAGGAGAGAAGAAGGGGACGGGGUAGGAGGGGAAGUAAGCAGGAACGAAACUGCUUUUCCUUUAAGUCCUGGUAACCAAGGCUUGAAACGAUGGACAGAAAUAUACCUCAUGACUGCGUUCUCUCUGAAUCUCGAACCUGCUGUUCCAGAAGCCGAGCUUCAGAUUAAGCUGGCUGAGCACAAGUUGUAACCAAAAGCCCCUUGCUAGCUAAUUCCUGAAACUGAUGUGCAAUUCCAUCUUUUGAUAGGUUGUUUCAUACUAUUCACACAGUCGCCUUUUGUGAACUUCUUGUUGUCGAGCUUGAUGGCUAUAGAGAUUCCCCAAGCUCUCUCCUUCUGCUUCUCCCUCCUCCUGUUUCAUAGCGGAUGGGCAAACCGUCCCAUCAGAGCAUGGCUACGACCUCAGCACUGCUGGGGAAACAAAAUUCUGAUCCUGGGCAACUGAGAGAGGAGGAGUCAAAUCAUGUAAUGUAGUGGGGCUGAUGCUGCAGUUUAGGAGAUAUGACAGACAUGCAAGAACACGGGCAUGUGCUAGGAAAAUAUGUAGGGGGAGAAGGCUGUAGGCAAACUCAGAAACAUAUGAUGCCAUAUUAAUUUUCCAAUCCUUACUGUGUGCCGUUAGGGCGAAUCUGUUUCCCAUUGGCAAUGUUAUAGCUUGGGAUCCAGUCAUCCUAAUAUGUAAUGGGAAAAUGGCUUUAAUAGGAUCUUUAAAACUUCAGACUCCAGCCAUCAUCUCCACUCUUUGAAUCCAGCAGAGAUGUGAUGGAACAGUUAGUGUCUCUGGUGGCUGUUAAUAUCAUGUUUCAUAGGUGGCUAUUUCAAGCCCUGAUGUAUCCCUCCCAACCUCGACUCCUGGUAUUUUAAAAAACCUGUUUCAUACUCUGGAAGACUGAAACUUAGCAUCCCCCAAAUGGGGUAGCCUCGGAGUUGUAGGGGGAGAAGAGGUUUCAACAUCUAACUGCAGCGGACAAGUCCUACUUUAAUUUUUGUAAAUUAAUUUUUAUGGGCCAUCUUUGUUGUUGGUGUUGGAGAAAGGGAGAAUGUGUAUAAAAGAAGAUAGUGUACACAUAAAUGACAGUGCAAAGCUUCCUCUACAACAGUCCAGUCAGUAUCUGGUGCAGAACACAAGACUAUUUAACUGAAUUAGUAUUAUCCAUCGAGUGAAUUCUUCUUGUUUGUGGAAUUCUUUCGAAGUAGGUUAAUUCUCUGGGGGAAAUCCCUCUCAAUCCAGGGAGUGAAAAAUAAUGUGCAGGGAUUCAUAGCUCCUUAUGAAAUUGAACCUUCUGAUGAUUAGACCCUAAUGCCGCCUUUUUUUCCAAUAUUCAGGUUAGCAGAGUUGAGAGGAUUUCAAAAUCACAUUUGCUGAUGAGUGUGGUGUCCAUGGCAUCACUGGUAAUAUUUGGUUAUUACCCAGAAGUAGGUGACAAGAUGGAGACUGAGUGUUACUUCUGGAAGGGAUGUACUGAAUGCCUUCUUUGGCCAUUGUGUUAGGAGGUGGCUUCUGCCUUCACCCUAUCGGAGGUGAAUAACAAGACCACUUCAUCUUUGACUUCUGCUAGACUCUACUUCCAUCAUCCUCAUUCCCCUCCAUCACCGCUACCUUCAACAAAAAGAAUCCCUCAGUACCCAUUAGCUUGUUGACUCUGGCAUUGGCCUUCUCUUCAUUGCCCUUUCCACUCAACAUUUUGUUGGUUUUGGCCAGUAAGGAGCUAUUUGCUUUCUUUGGAAAGCUCUUCUCUUUCCCUGAAAACAGUCUCUAAAGGGAUCUGAUCUGAAAUGGGAGAAAUAAGGGAUAACCCACAACAGCUUUUGUGCAGAUGGGAUACAGAGCCAUACCUAGACUCUGCUAAUCUUCCCUGAAUAAGUAUAAUUUUAUGCACUACAGUGAUCGCGAAUAAAAAGCCAACAUGCCUAUAAUAAUCCCCCAGUAUUCAGUCUCAAAUACUGCAGAGUUACCCCUGUAAAUUGUAUUUUUUUGCACCAUUAGUGUAGGAUAUGCUGUACCUCUUAAAAAUAAGGGCACAGAAUUGUGUCAGAUGCAACAAUUUUUAUUCUUUGUGUACUAAGAACAAGAAAUAAUAUCUCAGACGGCAAUACGCGGUAACAAUUUACAUAAAUUGCAUUUUUUAUGGCGACCACUGUAAAUUUGAAUAUUUGUGGCCAGAUCCUCAGUUAAUGUAAAUUGGCUUAGUUUCCUUGACUUCCAUGGUGCUACACCGGUUUCAAUCAGUUGAGGCCUGGGCCCAGAUCCUCAAAUCCUGGUAUGGAAAAUGUGCGAAUGCACGCACAUGUGCACACGCAGGCACACACUUGACUGUAGGUUGAUUUUUAUACACUGUAUAAAGAGAUAAGUAAAAAUGGCCUGCUAGAUUUAUUUAAUAUUUGUUCUCCCUCAUGUGUCAGCUAAACCUAAAGUGCUUCUUAUGAUGUAAGGUCCACUGUUAACUCAUCUGUGACCUGCUGUAUUAAGACAUAUGAUAGUAUUGGGAGUUGAAAACAAAACAGAGUGAUGAAAUUUAUAGGCUAUAACAAUCAGGGCAUUCUCAGUUGAUUAGUUGCAAAACAAUAUAUUCAGAACAUAGCCAAAGAAUCACACCACUUGCAUCUCAUUGGUCGAGUCAGUUAAUAGUAGUCAGUUAGUUACAUCAAAGGUAGGCAAGGCAUGCCCUUCAUUUCCAAGAUGGAGCUGCAGUACAGAGAGCGAGCAUGUCCCGCAUUCAAUGUCCAGAUCACAGUGGAGCACUGCAUACUGGGAUUUGUAGUCUCCAUGGGUGGCAGCCUCAGCGAAGAUGAAAACUGCAAGUUUUGCUCCAUUUUCUGCCCCCCUCCUUAGUUUCUAGCAAGCUGCCACCAAGGCCCUUGGGCAAUGCAAAUUCUGGGCACCCCUGAGUUUACAUCAGAGCCAGUGUAUCCCAAAGCUAAACUUUUUGGUAGGUUUUAAAUGUUUUGCUCAGGCUGAUUAUCUUGUGUAGAAUCGUGACCCUGUAAUAAAUAUUCAGAUGAUAAUAUAUACAGAACAUAAGCAUUAUCUUGUGAAAUAUACUUUUGUAAAUAAUAUUUUAAUUUUUUAAAAAAUAAUAUAUUUGGUGCUGUUUUCUCAGAACCCACCCCUGAGAGCACUUUUUUGGGUUUUGUUUUUAAAUUAUACUGUUUCCUCUGUCUUAGUUGGAAAAUAUGCUUAAAGGGAAAGAACAAUCAUAAAUAUAUGCGGUUUUCUUAAGAUGCUACACUUUUCACCUGGACAAGGCAGAAAAAGGGCGAAUAACCUCUAGUUCCAUCCAGCAGAAAUUACCUCCUACACAGGCCAUUGCCAGGUUACAAACAGAGGCCCCCCAUUCAGGAAGGUACUGAAGCAUGUGUGUAACUUUAAGCACAUCUGAAUGCAUGUGUGUUUAAAGGUAUGCACAUGCUUCAGUGCCUGAGGUCCCUGACUUGCAAUUGGAUCCACGUGGGAAGACCUUAAUUCCUACAUGGAGUCUCUUUAAUGUCAGUGGGGCUCCGUGUAAGUGCGUAGAUCUGCCUAAGUAGAUCUGAUUGCAGGAUCUGGGCCUGAAAUAUUCUCUUGCACCAGUAUUGGCUAGAAUAAAAUAAAUAAUGAAGAUUUAGAAUGUGGAAGUGAAUUUAAGUUGCAACCUCAGAAUCUUUAUUUCCCAUUGCUUGGGGCAAUGGGGGCAGGGGACGGAGAAUUCUAACUAAUCAGGAAUUCUAAUUUGCUUUGCAAAUAUUUUUGGAUGUGGAUCCUGGUUUUAAUUUUGUUUUUAGUAUAAAUAAACCAGGCUGCUACAUAGUGAAUUAAAGUACAAGUUUACAUCUCUGGCAGUAAAGUUCUUUCCCCUCUCCUCUUUGUCUUUUUUUCCCUCCCCUCUCCCCCUUAAUUUUUAUUUCAUUGGUCUUCUUGUUUAUCUCAAAGUGGACCAACAGCACAAAUCAUUAGACUGUGUUUUGUUGAGUAAGGAGCUAUUUGCAGUGCUGAGUAACUGUUGCACACACUUUUAUUUUCUCUUUUUGGUGCACACAUUUUAAAGGCAACAAAACCUGCACAUGGAAUCUGUGGUUCUUGUGAGGAUCAGCUAAGAAUUUUCUCUGUAUGCGUUUUCCUAAUUGAUAUGUGAGUGUAUUAAUCAUGCAUUUCGUUUCUAUAUGAACCAGUUCUUGGACAAGCAUCCUGUUGGGUAAACAGAUUUGAAAUGCAGAGCUCAGCUAAGUAGUAAGAGCUUUCCUUGCCAGAUGAGAGGCCUGAGAAAUGGAACGUUCAGAAACAAAAAUGUUAUGCAUUGAUUUGGAAGAAUCCUGUUUUGAAAGAACAAACAGGAAGGGAAAAUAAAAUCACACUUAAUAUAAAAACAAAAAAA